ACGCGAAGAACCUUACCCAGGCUUGAACAGCGAGUGACAAACUACGAAAGUGGUCUUCCGCAAGGACACUCGUAGAGGUGCUGCAUGGCUGUCGUCAGCUCGUGUCGUGAGAUGUUGGGUUAAGUCCCGCAACGAGCGCAACCCUUGUUUGCUGUUGCCAUCAGGUUAUGCUGGGCACUCUGCAAAGACUGCCGGUGAUAAACCGGAGGAAGGUGGGGAUGACGUCAAGUCAGCAUGGCCUUUAUGUUUGGGGCUACACACGUGCUACAAUGGCCGAUACAAACCGUCGCGAGCCCGCAAGGGGGAGCUAAUCGGAGAAAGUCGGUCUCAGUUCGGAUUGUAGGCUGCAACUCGCCUGCAUGAAGUUGGAAUCGCUAGUAAUCGCGGAUCAGCACGCCGCGGUGAAUACGUUCCCGGGCCUUGUA
This 425-nucleotide ribosomal RNA is filed under the name uncultured Acidobacterium sp. RNAcentral's name for it is "bacterial SSU rRNA". It matches the Rfam family "Bacterial small subunit ribosomal RNA", at positions 959 to 1385 of the family's 1533-position model. The record is from RNAcentral. Lineage: Bacteria; Pseudomonadati; Acidobacteriota; Terriglobia; Terriglobales; Acidobacteriaceae.